CUGGAUUCCAUCAUGGGUGGGAGAUCCAGUUUCUCUACACUGAGUGCCUUGACCGCUUGCCAGCAGAAGGACCUCACAGUUUGGGUCAAUGAUAUUUAUAGCUAGAAGGUACAUAUGAUUUUUUUUUUUACACGCUUUCCAGAGGUCUCUUUUCUACCCUGAAGUCAACUGCCUGAAGAACAGUGAGGCUAUAAACCAUCUGUAACCCCAUGACAGACCUCCAUGGCUUGUAACAGGACCUCUCCAUACAACCAUUCACAUUUAGCAGGCUUGUGGUCACAGUGGUUUUUGCCCAGAGGACACACGAACCGUUGUCUGAAGGUGUCCGGUUCCUGAGGAGGGGCUGAAGAAGGGCAGGCAGCAUGGCUUAACUCCAAACUCAUCGUAGAGUAAAGCAGGGACCUCAUCCAGCAGCGAUUACGGAGGAGCUGCACGGGGUGAGACGGCAGCUCUUCAUCCCCCGACUUUUUAAUUUCCAGCCGAGGAGAAUGCAGCCCUCCCCUCCGGCCGCCCUAUAAUGAGAGCCAGCAUGUGGGCUGCCUGCUGAGCACCACAGGACGAGCACAGCUGCCACGAGGAAAGGAUUCACCCCGGGGCAUCAGGAAUGGCCUCCCCAUUGCCCAGGAGCUGCCAAACAGAGCUGCACGCAGCGUGCAGGGAACCCAUGUAGGACAGAGCCAUCUGUGGGUGCCAGCCAAGAAAUUCAUAUUUCAUGGGAGGUGGAAGUGAGUCCCCGCAGUAGCGGCGUGGCGGAGGGGUGCCAAGGUCCGGGUUGAAGGAUGCGGCAGCACCCUGCUGGUGCCUGGCAGUCCACAGUGCACCGUGCCCAUCCCUGCACCCGGCCCCACAGCACCGUGCCAUGACGGGCGGACAGGAGGCAGCAGCAGGACGGGCGUGUGGGGCUGUG
Molecule: long non-coding RNA, 907 nt
Filed under: Chrysolophus pictus (golden pheasant)
Lineage: Eukaryota; Metazoa; Chordata; Aves; Galliformes; Phasianidae
Description: lncRNA (ENSCPIG00010013602.1)
Source: RNAcentral